RNAcentral lists this ribosomal RNA (254 nucleotides) under uncultured bacterium. Its description in RNAcentral is "partial 16S ribosomal RNA". It matches the Rfam family "Bacterial small subunit ribosomal RNA", at positions 524 to 776 of the family's 1533-position model. The record is from RNAcentral.
GACGUAGGGCGCGAGCGUUGUCCGGAUUUAUUGGGCGUAAAGAGCUCGUAGGCGGCUUGUCGCGUCGACUGUGAAAACCCGCGGCUCAACCGUGUGGCGGGCAGUUGAUACGGGCAGGCUAGAGUUCGGUAGGGGAGACUGGAAUUCCUGGUGUAGCGGUGAAAUGCGCAGAUAUCAGGAGGAACACCGGUGGCGAAGGCGGGUCUCUGGGCCAAUACUGACGCUGAGGAGCGAAAGCGUGGGGAGCGAACAGG